This 484-nucleotide ribosomal RNA is filed under the name uncultured bacterium. RNAcentral describes it as "partial 16S ribosomal RNA". It matches the Rfam family "Bacterial small subunit ribosomal RNA", at positions 30 to 507 of the family's 1533-position model. The record is from RNAcentral.
AUUGAACGCUGGCGGCAGGCCUAACACAUGCAAGUCGAGCGGAUGAGGGGAGCUUGCUCCUGGAUUCAGCGGCGGACGGGUGAGUAAUGCCUAGGAAUCUGCCUGGUAGUGGGGGAUAACGUCCGGACACGGGCGCUAAUACCGCAUACGUCCUGAGGGUGAAAGUGGGGGAUCUUCGGACCUCACGCUAUCAGAUGAGCCUAGGUCGGAUUAGCUAGUUGGUGGGGUAAAGGCCUACCAAGGCGACGAUCCGUAACUGGUCUGAGAGGAUGAUCAGUCACACUGGAACUGAGACACGGUCCAGACUCCUACGGGAGGCAGCAGUGGGGAAUAUUGGACAAUGGGCGAAAGCCUGAUCCAGCCAUGCCGCGUGUGUGAAGAAGGUCUUCGGAUUGUAAAGCACUUUAAGUUGGGAGGAAGGGCAGUAAGUGAAUACCUUGCUGUUUUGACGUUACCAACAGAAUAAGCACCGGCUAACUUCGUG